Molecule: ribosomal RNA, 591 nt
Filed under: uncultured bacterium
Lineage: Bacteria
Description: bacterial SSU rRNA
Rfam family: Bacterial small subunit ribosomal RNA
Source: RNAcentral
UCCUACGGGAGGCAGCAGUAGGGAAUAUUGGACAAUGGGCGCAAGCCUGAUCCAGCAAUGCCGCGUGUGUGAAGAAGGCCUGCGGGUUGUAAAGCACUUUCAGUGGGGAAGACAAACUCGAGGUUAAUACCCUCGGGUCUCGACGUUACCCACAGAAGAAGCACCGGCCAACUCCGUGCCAGCAGCCGCGGUAAUACGGAGGGUGCGAGCGUUAAUCGGAAUUACUGGGCGUAAAGCGCACGCAGGCGGCUGGGUCAGUCGGUUGUGAAAUCCCCGGGCUUAACCUGGGAAUUGCGAUCGAAACUGCCCGGCUAGAGUAUGGGAGAGGGAAGUGGAAUUCCCGGUGUAGCGGUGAAAUGCAUAGAUAUCGGGAGGAACACCAGUGGCGAAGGCGGCUUCCUGGCCCAAUACUGACACUCAGGUGCGAAAGCGUGGGGAGCAAACAGGAUUAGAUACCCUGGUAGUCCACGCCGUAAACGAUGAGAACUAGAUGUCGGGGGGGAUUGGCCCCUCGGUGUCGCAGCUAACGCAUUAAGUUCUCCGCCUGGGGAGUACGCCGGCAACGGUAAAACUCAAAGGAAUUGACGGGGA